This 286-nucleotide ribosomal RNA is filed under the name Vibrio fluvialis. RNAcentral describes it as "partial 23S ribosomal RNA". It matches the Rfam family "Bacterial large subunit ribosomal RNA", at positions 1 to 288 of the family's 2925-position model. Lineage: Bacteria; Pseudomonadati; Pseudomonadota; Gammaproteobacteria; Vibrionales; Vibrionaceae. The record is from RNAcentral.
GGUUAAGUGACUAAGCGUACACGGUGGAUGCCUUGGCAGUCAGAGGCGAUGAAGGACGUAGUAACUUGCGAUAAGCUCAGAUUAGGCAGUAACAGCCACUUGAGUCUGAGAUUUCCGAAUGGGGAAACCCAACUGCAUAAGCAGUUAUCAUUAACUGAAUACAUAGGUUAAUGAAGCGAACCGGGGGAACUGAAACAUCUAAGUACCCCGAGGAGAAGAAAUCAACCGAGAUUCCGAUAGUAGCGGCGAGCGAAAUUGGAUUAGCCCUUAAGCUUUACAUGCGUCA